UCCCCAGUAGUCUAGUGUUUAAGACUCUGUGCUUCUACUGCAGGGGCACAGGUUUGACCCUGGUCAGGAGAG
This 72-nucleotide transfer RNA is filed under the name Ovis aries (sheep). It matches the Rfam family "tRNA". From Rfam's summary of the family: Transfer RNA (tRNA) molecules are approximately 80 nucleotides in length. Their secondary structure includes four short double-helical elements and three loops (D, anti-codon, and T loops). The record is from Rfam by way of RNAcentral. Lineage: Eukaryota; Metazoa; Chordata; Mammalia; Artiodactyla; Bovidae.